GUAAAAUUAGAGCAAUCAAACGUGGUAUAUAAAGUCACUUGUUCUUGUGGUGCUAUUUAUAUAGGCCAAACGAAACAGAAGCUAAAAAAACGAAUGUACCAGCAUAAGUACAAUGCUAAGAUCAAGAACAUCGAUCACAGCGCCAUCACUGAACAUGUUGUCACUCUUGGACAUGAACCGAAGUGGGAUGAGGUAGAAAUAAUGGAAUUUGAAUACAAUAAGAAAAAGCGAUGUGUUUUGGAGAUGAUUCAUAUUAGAAAGAACCCGAAUUGCAUCAAUAAACAGAAAGAAUCAAUUUAUCUAUCCACAGCUUAUAAUAACAUCAUUUAAAUAGUCGCGCCAGUUAUAGCGAAAAUGAAGUUGUUCAACCGUAACUUAACUGAAGUCAAAAGCUUUUGUGAAGUUUCCUUUGUAUUCAAAAUUUACUGGUACAGCUAAAGUGUUUUUCAAUGCAAUUCGAUUAAGUGAUUUUCUAGUCCUUUUUUAAUUAUUAUGACGAAAUGUAUGUUUAUGCGUAACAUACAUUGAAUUUUUUGAAGUGGACUAAUGUUUACGUUUUUCGAUUGAAUGUAACAAUACAUAGGUACAAUGUUGUCUAUUAUGUAGAUUUAACUUGUUGUAAUUAUCAAUGAAAUAUUUUUGUUACAGCCCUGAUGAUGUUUUCGAAUUGAAGACGAAAUAUAUCGGCAAAAUAAUUUAAAAAUUUGUCUUUCUCUGAGCUAAUCCGACAACCACAUAAGAAUGUAUUGAAAUUAUAAAAUCGCAAAAUUUUCUCACUCGAUCAGCUCACGAUCAUUUCCUUUCUUCUCAAAUUUCACACGCACUGAGUCGUGACAAAUAUUUCGCUGAGAAGUCCUAACUAGAAUGUACAAAGUAGAAAAUCGAAAAAAUUUCUAGCUCGCUCCGCUCGCGAUCACUUACAAUCUUAUC
This is a long non-coding RNA of Bradysia coprophila, 930 nucleotides long. Lineage: Eukaryota; Metazoa; Arthropoda; Insecta; Diptera; Sciaridae. The record is from RefSeq and is a predicted model, not a curated record.